CAGGUAGGUGGUCUGGUUAGUCUGUUGUGAAAGCUCCUUGCUUAACGGGGAGAGGCCAACAGAUACUGCCAGGCUUGAGUAUAGGAGAGGGUACUGGAAUUCCCGGUGUAGCGGUGAAAUGCGCAGAGAUCGGGAGGAACACCAAUGGCGAAAGCAGGUACCUGGACUAUUACUGACACUCAGCUGCGAAAGCUAGGGGAGCAAACAGGAUUAGAUACCCUGGUAGUCCUAGCCGUAAACGAUGCACAUUAGGCGUGAGGGGUAUCGACCCCCUUCGUGCCGAAGCAAACGCAUUAAAUGUGCCGCCUGGGGAGUACGGCCGCAAGGUUGAA
RNAcentral lists this ribosomal RNA (332 nucleotides) under uncultured Actinomycetes bacterium. RNAcentral's name for it is "bacterial SSU rRNA". It matches the Rfam family "Bacterial small subunit ribosomal RNA", at positions 568 to 898 of the family's 1533-position model. The record is from RNAcentral. Lineage: Bacteria; Bacillati; Actinomycetota; Actinomycetes.